CAGAUUGACAAGGAGGUAGAAAUCCUUUAUUUAUCUUCAGAACAGCAUGGGCAGUGCAGUGACAGCCUCCCCACACUGCCCUGUCACUGUACCUCAAUGCUAACCUGCAGCUAUCAUCCAUAAGGAUGGAGAGGGAUAAUUUACCCUCCAUGGUGCAUUUACUUCUGGGCCUAC
This 174-nucleotide small RNA is filed under the name Chrysemys picta bellii (western painted turtle). Its description in RNAcentral is "TUC338 (ENSCPBG00000019957.1)". The record is from RNAcentral. Lineage: Eukaryota; Metazoa; Chordata; Testudines; Emydidae.